This 397-nucleotide ribosomal RNA is filed under the name uncultured bacterium. Its description in RNAcentral is "partial 16S ribosomal RNA". It matches the Rfam family "Bacterial small subunit ribosomal RNA", at positions 523 to 918 of the family's 1533-position model. The record is from RNAcentral.
AUACGUAGGGGGCGAGCGUUGUCCGGAAUGAUUGGGCGUAAAGGGCGCGUAGGCGGCCCGGUAAGUCUGGAGUGAAAGUCCUGCUUUUAAGGUGGGAAUUGCUUUGGAUACUGUCGGGCUUGAGUGCAGGAGAGGUAAGUGGAAUUCCCAGUGUAGCGGUGAAAUGCGUAGAGAUUGGGAGGAACACCAGUGGCGAAGGCGACUUACUGGACUGUAACUGACGCUGAGGCGCGAAAGUGUGGGGAGCAAACAGGAUUAGAUACCCUGGUAGUCCACACUGUAAACGAUGAAUGCUAGGUGUAGGGGGUAUCGACCCCUUCUGUGCCGCAGUCAACACAAUAAGCAUUCCGCCUGGGGAGUACGGCCGCAAGGUUGAAACUCAAAGGAAUUGACGGGG